GGAGUUAUAUAAACCCUAAGUUUAUUUGCCCUAAAAACUCUGUCGAUCCACCUCCCCAGCCUCAACUCUCCGACUUGAAUCGCUGCUAGCCCUAGCCAUCUCUCGACUUCGCUGCCAACCACCACGACGGUCUAGUGUUGGUCGUGAGGAGCCUAGCUCUAUCGUCGACCCUCUUCAGCCAUGAACUACAAGCAGCGGACCUCUUCUUCCUCCUCCCCAUCCUUUCAAUCGGCCAAGCUUAGCUAGGCACCGACACAACCAAGCCCUAGCCCUCUUCAUCGCUCCUCCAGUACUCUCCUUCCAACACUGGAUUGCUCUUCUGAACCGCAGGGAAAAAGGAAAGUAUAAUCCCUCCUGUAGGUAUAGGUUUCGGGAAAAGGAAUAGCAGGCGUAUAAACAGUUUUCUUUAAUGGAGUCAGCUAGUUCUUCAUGAAGUUUUCGUGUUGGCUUUCUGGUCAGGGUUUGGGGAGGUUGCGAUUAUUUCUUUUCUAAUGUUGUUUCAUUCUUCUGUAGUGGAUUUUAAUGGCUAGAAUAGAUUUGAGAGCUUGUAAUCGGUUGUGGGAUUUGAGAUUAUGUUAUUCUCGGUUCUUCCAGUGGCUAUGGUUUUUGGUGAACCAAUUUAGUAGGCUGGAAUGUGAUUUCAAUGGGGUUUUUGUUUCUUUUGGAUGGAUGUGGAUUUGUUAGGACAGAUCUAAGGGUUGUGAAUCGAUCUUGAUGUAGUUUUUGUUCGGCAAGACAACUUUGGAUUUUUGGACAGAUUUGCAGAUUUUGAAACAACCUUGAUAUUGUUUUAGUUUCGACAUAUAGCCUUGAAUUCUGGAUAGAUUUGGAAGAUUGUGAGACGAUUUUGAUGUUGGUUCUAUUUUGACAUGCUAGUCUCGGAUUUCUGGAUGGACUUGGGGAUUGAGAAUCGAAUCUGAGGUUGUUCUUCUUCAUGUGAGGAAGAUGCCACCAAGGAUACGAUAAAGGAUGUGGGGGUGGAAUAUCUGGGGAGACGAGAUGGAAGCAUAACACAUUGUUCGGGGGCCCUAGGAGCUUGUUAUGAAAUUGUAUUUGUUAUGUAGUUAAGGAUUGAAGUCUAUUUGUUGAUUUCUGAUUUGGUAGAAGUCAUCAUCUUCAAUUUACUA
This is a long non-coding RNA of Zingiber officinale, 1127 nucleotides long. RefSeq lists it as uncharacterized. The record is from RefSeq and is a predicted model, not a curated record. NCBI's taxonomy places the organism in Eukaryota, Viridiplantae, Streptophyta, Magnoliopsida, Zingiberales, Zingiberaceae. The transcript has 2 exons.